Molecule: ribosomal RNA, 700 nt
Filed under: Aquipseudomonas alcaligenes
Lineage: Bacteria; Pseudomonadati; Pseudomonadota; Gammaproteobacteria; Pseudomonadales; Pseudomonadaceae
Description: bacterial SSU rRNA
Rfam family: Bacterial small subunit ribosomal RNA
Source: RNAcentral
UAGUCUGCCAUGAUUCAGCGGCGGACGGGUGAGUAAUGCCUAGGAAUCUGCCUGGUAGUGGGGGACAACGUUUCGAAAGGAACGCUAAUACCGCAUACGUCCUACGGGAGAAAGCAGGGGACCUUCGGGCCUUGCGCUAUCAGAUGAGCCUAGGUCGGAUUAGCUAGUAGGUGAGGUAAUGGCUCACCUAGGCGACGAUCCGUAACUGGUCUGAGAGGAUGAUCAGUCACACUGGAACUGAGACACGGUCCAGACUCCUACGGGAGGCAGCAGUGGGGAAUAUUGGACAAUGGGCGAAAGCCUGAUCCAGCCAUGCCGCGUGUGUGAAGAAGGUCUUCGGAUUGUAAAGCACUUUAAGUUGGGAGGAAGGGCAGUAAGUUAAUACCUUGCUGUUUUGACGUUACCAACAGAAUAAGCACCGGCUAACUUCGUGCCAGCAGCCGCGGUAAUACGAAGGGUGCAAGCGUUAAUCGGAAUUACUGGGCGUAAAGCGCGCGUAGGUGGUUCAGCAAGUUGGAGGUGAAAUCCCCGGGCUCAACCUGGGAACUGCCUCCAAAACUAUUGAGCUAGAGUACGGUAGAGGGUAGUGGAAUUUCCUGUGUAGCGGUGAAAUGCGUAGAUAUAGGAAGGAACACCAGUGGCGAAGGCGACUACCUGGACUGAUACUGACACUGAGGUGCGAAAGCGUGGGGAGCAAACA